Alligator mississippiensis (American alligator) is the source of this 1525-nucleotide long non-coding RNA. RefSeq lists it as uncharacterized. The record is from RefSeq and is a predicted model, not a curated record. NCBI's taxonomy places the organism in Eukaryota, Metazoa, Chordata, Crocodylia, Alligatoridae. The transcript has 2 exons.
GACAGCCAUCUUCCCUCGGGCCCCGAUGUACUGAGCAUCUUAGGUAGGUGAAGAGAUGGGUGCACAUAGGGCUGGAAGACAGGCAGAUGUGUGCACCACAACUCCGUCCUUUCCUUAAGUCUGUGAAGCUACUGCCAAUGCUCCUGCGGAUGGAUCCGUUGCCCGCGGUAUCAGCACGUUCCUCUUUCAGCUGAAAUAAAUAACCCCCCUUGAAAAGUUUCGGGAUAAAUAGCUGAGAUUCCCGGCACAGCCGAGUUGCGCCGCCUUCUGCCCCUUCCCCCGGGGCUGCCGCACUAGUAGCGGAGCGGGCUCCUGCCGCGGGGCUUCCCCUGCGGUUCCGGGAGUGCCGCCGCGGGCUGCGGCAGCACAAGCCGGUGCGCUCUGGUGGACCCGGCCGGUGCUGAGCUGCAGGCAUUGGCUUUCCCUGAAGGGCUAUUGGCAGGGCCCUGGCCUGGCGCCCCCAGGAGCUGAGGCUGAAGAGCUGUCACCAAGAAGAUUGGGGAGGAGAAUCCUCUGGUGCCGCCCAGCCCCCGAGCAACGCAGAUUCAGAACGGCUGUGCACUCGCUUCACCGCUCCCUGCCUGGCGCCCUCCCGUCUGACAUCCCCAGGGAGGUUUACCCCGGAUCUGCAGACAAGGACGUGGCCGCUGCGAAACGCUGCUGUGGGGAGAAGCAAGUCCCGGCCCACACCGCAGCUGUGAAGGGACAGCUCUUCUCGGUUUUCUCUUUACAGCUAUAACGGGGAGAACUAAGGCUCCUCCUGCUUGUGGGUCAUUGUGGAAGCGGGGCAAGCGCGGCCCCAGGACGGUACGGGGACGAGAUGCGUUUCCUUGGCACCGCCGUGCUCGUGGCGCUUCUCGAUGUCAGUGAGUGCAAAGUCCGCUGCGCUUUAGCUGGUUCGCAGAGUCCGCUGGAGCGGUGGUAAGGGCCAGGCUGAGGUAGCGCGGGUUAGUCCGCAGCCUCCGGUCGGGCUGCGUCUGCGCUCGGCUGCCCUGAAAGCAAGAAGCUGAUGCUAUUUCACCCCUCGGGGGAGACCCGCACUUGUCUGCGGCCGGCGGGGAAGUACCUGCCUGCCUGCAAAUUCGAGGGGGAUUUAGGUGCCUAUUUCCUUCGGCCACUUUUCUUUAUUCUCUGCCCCAGGUGUGCAGGACAAGGGGAAAAUCAGGCUGGGUGGGUUAAACCCUCCGCACCUCGGAAAAGACGGGGAAGACCAGUACCCGGGCACCUGGAGCUGAGGUUUUCCAAGCAAGUCACAGGGCGGGGAGCUCUGCGCAGUCAGUAAGGCAGACAGGAGGGGCCGUCGCCGUGCAUGAGGGCACCCCGUGUUUAUCAACUGCACCUACAAGUACUCGGGGGUCCCCGAGCUCUUCUGGUACCGGCAGCUCCCAGGCGACCCCCCUCGCCUUCUGCUGACCCAGUAUAAAGACCUGGAAGAGGAAAAGGAGAAAGGCGGGCGUGAGUUCUCCGCAGACCUCGACAAUUUUUUUUUUUCAGUAAGAAAAUAUAAAAUAUAUAUUUCUCUCUA